Molecule: ribosomal RNA, 1345 nt
Filed under: uncultured bacterium
Lineage: Bacteria
Description: bacterial SSU rRNA
Rfam family: Bacterial small subunit ribosomal RNA
Source: RNAcentral
GAUGAACGCUAGCGGGAGGCCUAGCACAUGCAAGCCGAGCGGUAUUGUUUCUUCGGAAAUGAGAGAGCGGCGUACGGGUGCGGAACACGUGUGCAACCUGCCUUUAUCUGGGGGAUAGCCUUUCGAAAGGAAGAUUAAUACUCCAUAAUAUAUUGAACGGCAUCGUUUAAUAUUGAAAGCUCCGGCGGAUAGAGAUGGGCACGCGCAAGAUUAGCUAGUUGGUGAGGUAACGGCUCACCAAGGCGAUGAUCUUUAGGGGGCCUGAGAGGGUGAUCCCCCACACUGGUACUGAGACACGGACCAGACUCCUACGGGAGGCAGCAGUGAGGAAUAUUGGUCAAUGGGUGCAAGCCUGAACCAGCCAUCCCGCGUGAAGGACGACUGCCCUAUGGGUUGUAAACUUCUUUUGUAUAGGGAUAAACCUACCCUCGUGAGGGUAGCUGAAGGUACUAUACGAAUAAGCACCGGCUAACUCCGUGCCAGCAGCCGCGGUAAUACGGAGGGUGCAAGCGUUAUCCGGAUUUAUUGGGUUUAAAGGGUCCGUAGGCGGACUUAUAAGUCAGUGGUGAAAGCCUGUCGCUUAACGAUAGAACUGCCAUUGAUACUGUAAGUCUUGAGUAUAUUUGAGGUAGCUGGAAUAAGUAGUGUAGCGGUGAAAUGCAUAGAUAUUACUUAGAACACCAAUUGCGAAGGCAGGUUACCAAGAUAUAACUGACGCUGAGGGACGAAAGCGUGGGGAGCGAACAGGAUUAGAUACCCUGGUAGUCCACGCCGUAAACGAUGCUAACUCGUUUUUGGGCUUUAGGAUUCAGAGACCAAGCGAAAGUGAUAAGUUAGCCACCUGGGGAGUACGCUCGCAAGGGUGAAACUCAAAGGAAUUGACGGGGGCCCGCACAAGCGGUGGAUUAUGUGGUUUAAUUCGAUGAUACGCGAGGAACCUUACCAAGACUUAAAUGGGAAUUGACAGCUUUAGAAAUAGAGCUUUCUUCGGACAAUUUUCAAGGUGCUGCAUGGUUGUCGUCAGCUCGUGCCGUGAGGUGUUAGGUUAAGUCCUGCAACGAGCGCAACCCCUGUCACUAGUUGCCAUCAUUCAGUUGGGGACUCUAGUGAGACUGCCUACGCAAGUAGAGAGGAAGGUGGGGAUGACGUCAAAUCAUCACGGCCCUUACGUCUUGGGCCACACACGUAAUACAAUGGCCGGUACAGAGGGCAGCUACACAGCGAUGUGAUGCAAAUCUCGAAAGCCGGUCUCAGUUCGGAUUGGAGUCUGCAACUCGACUCUAUGAAGCUGGAAUCGCUAGUAAUCGCGCAUCAGCCAUGGCGCGGUGAAUACGUUCCCGGGCCU